RNAcentral lists this ribosomal RNA (253 nucleotides) under uncultured bacterium. RNAcentral's name for it is "partial 16S ribosomal RNA". It matches the Rfam family "Bacterial small subunit ribosomal RNA", at positions 524 to 776 of the family's 1533-position model. The record is from RNAcentral.
UACGUAGGUGGCAAGCGUUGUCCGGAAUUAUUGGGCGUAAAGCGCGUGCAGGCGGUCCUUUAAGUCUGUUGUGAAAGCCCACGGCUCAACCGUGGAGGGUCGUUGGAAACUAGCGGGCUUGAGUUCGGGAGAGGGAAGCGGAAUUCCGGGUGUAGCGGUGAAAUGCGUAGAUAUCCGGAGGAACACCGGUGGCGAAGGCGGCUUCCUGGACCGACACUGACGCUGAGGCGCGAAAGCUAGGGGAGCAAACGGG